This 607-nucleotide ribosomal RNA is filed under the name uncultured bacterium. Its description in RNAcentral is "bacterial SSU rRNA". It matches the Rfam family "Bacterial small subunit ribosomal RNA", at positions 338 to 946 of the family's 1533-position model. The record is from RNAcentral.
CCUACGGGAGGCAGCAGUAGGGAAUAUUGGACAAUGGGCGCAAGCCUGAUCCAGCCAUCCCGCGUGAAGGAUUAAGGCCCUCUGGGUUGUAAACUUCUUUUCUCUGGGAAUAAAAACCGGUAUUCAUACUGGCUUGAAGGUACCAGAGGAAUAAGCACCGGCUAACUCCGUGCCAGCAGCCGCGGUAAUACGGAGGGUGCAAGCGUUAUCCGGAUUCACUGGGUUUAAAGGGUGCGUAGGUGGCUUUGUAAGUCAGUGGUGAAAUGCCGCAGCUCAACUGCGGAACUGCCAUUGAUACUGCUUAGCUUGAAUCACGUCGAGGUGGAUGGAAUAAUACAUGUAGCGGUGAAAUGCUUAGAUAUGUAUUAGAACACCGAUUGCGAAGGCAGUUCACUAGGCGUGUAUUGACACUGAGGCACGAAAGCGUGGGGAUCAAACAGGAUUAGAUACCCUGGUAGUCCACGCCCUAAACGAUGUAAACUCGACAUUAGCGAUAUACUGUUAGUGUCCAAGCGAAAGCGUUAAGUUUACCACCUGGAAGUACGAACCGCAAGUUGAAACUCAAAGGAAUUGAGGCUUGNGAGNGCGAGACGACGACGAGGAGAGG